Molecule: transfer RNA, 51 nt
Filed under: Brunonia australis
Lineage: Eukaryota; Viridiplantae; Streptophyta; Magnoliopsida; Asterales; Goodeniaceae
Description: partial tRNA-Leu
Source: RNAcentral
AAAUUUAUAGUAAAAGGAAAAUCCGUUGAUUUCAAAAAUCGUGAGGGUUCA